Molecule: long non-coding RNA, 9931 nt
Organism: Spinacia oleracea (spinach)
Lineage: Eukaryota; Viridiplantae; Streptophyta; Magnoliopsida; Caryophyllales; Amaranthaceae
Exons: 3
Source: RefSeq, a predicted model, not a curated record
AGAAAAGAACCGCCUAAAUUUUCUUCCCACACCUAAGCUUAACAAAAACUAAAAAGAACCGCCGCCCCAGCUUUCUCUUCAAAACCUAAAAGCCUCAAAACCUAAGAACUUUCGAUUGACGGUGAAACCAGACUUCAAAAUCCUUCAUACGACAGUGAUAUCUUUCAAGAGAUUGACGGCGAAACCAACCUUCAAAAAUCCUUCACACGGCAGCGAUAUCUUUCAAGAAAUGGGGAUUUCCUUCAGGUGGUGGCGUUUCGUUCAACUGGCGGGAUUCUUCUCAAGGAAAAAUCGAAUUUCAAGGAAAAAGUAAACCGCAAAGAAUUGAAUCCUUUUCUGUGGGACAGUGGAAGUGGCAAUCCCAAAGAUGCAGAUCAAACAAAGGCUAAAAGCGAUCAAAUUUUGGCAUCUUCUUUUGUGGGGGACGGUGGAGCAAGCUGGAGAAUGCUGGCUUUGAAUCGCACCAGGAGCAAGCAGAUUGUUAAAGAAAGGUGAUAAUAUCAGGUUGAUCAAAUUAUUGGAACAAAACUGAAGAGGUAUUCUGUAGUACCGAAUUUUAGGCAGCUGAGAUUAGAAGAAGAGGAAACUUUCCAAGAAGUAGUAAGAAGGUUAUAACUGCAACACCUAGGCAGUUGGAGAGUUUAAUACGACUUAGUGAAGCAUUGGCACGGAUGCAUUUCUCUGAAUGGGUCAGUUAAUAAAUUAAUAUAAAGUAUUUCCUAAAUCACAAGUACUAAAUGCAGUACAAAAUAUCCUAAAUGCAGAUUAACUUAAUGAAAGUAGGAGCCCAAAAGACCAAAAUACCCUUUUCUUAUUAGCUUCCCUCUCGUUUACGUGUUAAUGAACUGUUUCAGUGCUUAGCAGUUUAUUAGCUUCCCACUGCAAAACUUGUUGGCUAUUUUCAUGGAGAUUACUAAUUAUACAGUAAAGAAAUUAAUCAUGGCAAAUUGGCAAUCCAUUGGGCAUGUAUAAAUAUCUCUUUUUCCAUCAAUGCCCUUCGUUACAUCGCGGAUUCUUUGUAUUUGAAUAAAAUGAAGGGAAGAGUUCCGGAAAAUACUUCCAGCAAGUGGCCAAGAGUUUCGGGUGGCUCUUACGGAGAGUGGUGACUAGUUCCGGAAAUAUUUCCGGCAGGUGGUGAAGGGCUUUGGACAAUAUUCGCGUGGCCUGUCAGCAGGAGUUAUCAGAUCCCGAAAAGCGCGGUAGCCCAAAUCCCGACCGUCUUUAGCAUAAUCAGUUGCCACCGACUCCCCACAUAACAGAUCAAUGUUGGGGUAGAAUUGAUCGGUAGGCUCACCCCCAGGCGACCCGAACCAUGACUUCAUUGCCGGCGGGAUUUUGAAGGGGGUAUCCUCAAUCCAACCGCCGGUACGCAGCGGCAGAUGGUAAUUCAACCAAGAAUCACCGGAUCUAUUCUCACUACGACUAACAGGGGGCAUACUAGAAUUACUCCCUGUCACAGCAGCCGACGUAGCACAAUGCUGAAGUGGAGGCUCAUUUUCGCCGCCACCACCCUCUACGUCCAAAAUCUGAAUGGACGGCUGCGGAGAUUGAUGAACCACAACAGUAGAAUCCGCCGUCUUUUUGAGAGCGUCGUCAGCAGGAAAUUCGUGGAUGUCAACAACAGCCGAAACAUCAUCGCCGCCAGCAGCCUUAGAUUUCUUAUUAGGGUCAGAACGCCCACUAGUAAGUGACGAUCUCUUUCGGCUCUUUCCACCACGGCCGGUUGGAUUUGAUUGCAUAUUGGACGGCUGUGCAGUUUUACAAAAUAGAAGCAGAAGAGGAUUUGGUUUUAGAACCGGCGCCAACACGGUUCUUAGCAACGGUAACAGCUGAGCGACGGGAGGAGGCUCGUGUAGAGUACGUUGAUAUUGUGUCGUACUUUGCUUUAGGCUGCGGAGGCUGCGUGCACACAUGUCUCCAAUUCUCGUCAAAACCAAGAAUAUCUCUAUCCAAGGUUUUAGUACCUGCAAAGAUAACGACACAAUUAAAGCCGGCAAGUGACUUGUGCAAUACACAAAACUAAAAAUAGCAAAAAUAAAUACAUCCCAUUCAGCUAAAAAUAUGUUUACCAAAGCAGUGAGUGUUUCAUAGGCCGACAGCAGACAGGGGUUGGCUACCCAAAAUAUAAUAGGCAUUAGGGAGCCAAUUUCGAUUUACAGCCUGCUUUUUGCUGAGACCGACAUCUAAAAUGUCACACUCCAGAUAAUCAAAAGUUUUUCUCUCCCGCCGGCCCAAACCACGCUGGUUGUACUGCUCCAUACGAGCCCUGGGUUUAGUAAAAGUCCGUCGAAGAGAAAAGUCGUCAGGAACUUGAACGAAGUAAAAACGAUCCUGCCAAUCUUUGCAGCUCGACAAAGGAGGAUGCACAGUCUUCCUUUUCGUUGCGCUAUACGCCGACAUCCACCCUGUCUCACCAUCUUUCUUCAACCAUAACAGCCGCUUGAAUAAAUUCAACGUCAGCGGCCAUUGCUUAAACAGACAAAGCCAGACAUACGAAAUAACAGUUCUGAUGGUAGUGGGAGUAACUUGAUCCAAGCAGACAUUCCAAGCCCGAAAUAUCUUCUCAACAAAAGGGUGCAAAGGAAAGGAAGCCCAAAAUCGAAAUGCUUCUCGUACACAGCGAUAUGGCCGGGAGGACAAUAAAAAAUAGUAGCACCUUCAGGCGGCACUACCAGCUUAUAGUCAGCCGGCAAACCAAGAAAAGUCCCCCCAUGAACCAGAAGAUUUUUCUUUAUAAUCAAAUCACGACAUGUCGUCAAAAUCUCGGUCGUUCGAGGAAGACUAUCUAAAGGAGGCAGCUCUUCUCUCCUAUGAACAUAUCUGUGGCGUCGUCGGUAAAGUAAGGCUGCUCCUUAGCCUCAUCCGCAAGAACUUCGGCCACUAUUACGUCGGUAGGAUCAUCAUCAUCAUAGCCAAUAUCAUCGUUACCAACUUCUGUAUCAUUCCUACCAGAAACACCAGCUUCAUCACCACCACCCCUAUGUUCAUCAACAUCCUUACCGGCAGAAUCCUCGAAGAUGGAAUCACCAUCGGAGUAUUCACCGGUAGCCAUAUCUACAUCAUCGGUUACAGGCUCUUUACCAGGGCGGCGGCCGCUAGUGCUAGCCGGUUGUUCUGAAGCCAUCCUAUCAGCCUGACCAAAAGAAACACCGAAGUUGCCAGUAUUAGUUCCAUACUGCCCGUGGCCACUGCCGGCGGAAUCCAAAAAUUCUCGAUAAGAGCGAAUAUGAUAUCACACCGAAAUAGGGGAAACAUCUAAAACAGGCUCAGUAGCCGGAAUAGGGCGCUCAUGAGACCUCAUUUCCCUUAUCAUUCGAGCCCGUAGAUGAUGUAGGGCAUAACAACGCUCUCUCUCAGCCUGACUUAAACCCUCGUCGUAUAUCUCACGAAUGGCAGUCCAUCUUAAAUUAGAUCGAGAAGGCGGCCUCUCCUGGGCCCAACUACAGUUACUCUCUUGGGGAACACUCCAACCGGUAAACCCAGAAGGUUGGGAAGAAGGAUUGUCCCCACCCAAAUUUUUGGUCAUUUUUGAAGGCGGCGGAUAAUUAAAAGUUCGUUUUUUUCACAAAAUGCACCUGAGGUUUGCAAUAAUGCACCAAAUACCCUCGCGACUUUUGAAUCACAUAUUAUACCCCUAUUUUUUCCUAAGUUUGCACUAAAUACCCCUAAUCUGACUUUCCGUUAGUCCUCCGUUAAGUCAUGUUUAUAAUUCACAGUAUGCCCCUUUUUUAAAACUUAUUGCACUAUAUACACCUAUUUUAAACUUAGUUUCACCAAAUACCCAAAUUGCAGGAAUUUGAAUUUAACGGCUAGUUUUAAUAAACCUAAGGAUCAAAAUAUAGCUGUUAUGUUCUUGCUGCUUAUAAAUAGUGUUGGUGUUCACUGCUUAUACAUAUUAUCCCCUCUCUUUCCUAAUUAGCCAUGAGCUCUCAUUCUAAAUCCGAAUCCUCUAUUCCAAAUUUAGCAUACAUUAGAGUUCCUAACAAAAAAUUUUAUUGCGGGAGAAGAUUUGCCAUUAGGAGCUCGGAAACGAAAAAAAAUCCGCAAAAGCUUUACUACAAGUGUGAUCCUUGUGACAAUUUCAAGUGGUGCAAAGGUAUUGCUGAGCAGACACUUGAUGAAGUUCAAAGCAAGGGAAACAGAGAAGAACAAGGGCAUGAAGAAAUCAGGGGAAUGCAUGAAGAAAGCAAGGGAAUGCAUGAGGAGUUGAAGCUAUUGAAGAAGAAGUUGAAACAACAUAAAUAACAAAUCAAUGUUGCAAUUAAAAUUGGUGUACUAAUGUUUGCAUUUCUGAUUUGGAUAGCAAUGAAGUAGAGAUUUGUAACAAGAUUCAAGCAAUAAAGUGAGACCUUGUUCCACAAAUAUUAGUUCAAGCAUAUUAGCUUUACAAAAACUGACUUCUAAGUAGGCAAAUACCACUGAAACUGCACAAAAAACAUAUGGUCUAAGCAUUGCCUUGCUUUCAAAAACUGAUUCUAACUAACUCUUAACUUAAUUGACUAAGUUAGUUUAACUUUGUGCACCUACAAUUCACAAAAAAUGUUCUAAGCAUGGUCAAGCAGCUGUCUUUGUCCUCUUCCUAGUCCUUGGACCCCCCUGUGAUGUACUUGCUCCUGCUGCAGCCCUCUUUGAAGUGCUUGCUCCAGUGGCAUUUGGUCCUCCACUCUUACAUGUUCUUGAGUUGUGACCAAACUCUUUGCACUUUCCACAUUUCACAUUGUUGUUCCUCUUCCCCUUCCUGGGUUCAUUUGCUCCUCUCUUUUUCUUCUUAGCAGGUCUGCCAGGUGGUCUUUUGAUGAUUGGAGGCUGAAUGGUAGGGAGGCCAAAUUCAGGCCACUGAGUUGGGUCUGCCAUGGGAUGAAUGUGUUCUGCAUAGGUGAGCUUGUAUGCAGCAGACUUGAAGAAUGGGGAGACAUAAUCAUGGGGGUUCAACCUUUGGUUGUAUAUCACCCUCAAUGCAUGCUUGCAGGGGAUUCCACAGAUCUGCCACUUUCCACAGGCACAGCUUCUUGUUGCUAGCUUAAUUGGGAAGUUGACAUGGCCAUCCCUAACUUCAAAUUCACCCCCUCCACAUGCUGUGGCAUAGCAGAACCUGGACUCUGCUGUUCUUUCCUCCAACUCCUUCAAUGCAUAUUCUGUUAGUUGACCAUCCUGCAUAUCAACUGCCUUGUCAAACCUAGCCCGUAUCCUCUCCAUACACCAACUUCUUAUUGCUGUUCAACAACAAAUACAACAGAUACAACAAACACAUUCCAUUAAACACAACACAACAGCACUCACAACACCACAACAAUCACAACACAACAGCAGCAAACAACAGAAACAGGGGAGAGGAGUUAUACCUUCCAAUAAAGAGAACACAGGCAUGUCUCUGUAUGGUUUUGUGCAUGCAUUAAAUGACUCCACAAAGUUUGUUAUGUUAUGAUGACAACAAACACUAGGAUCAAACACAUGUCUUGACUACUGCUCAAGGCAGCUGUCCAAGUAUGCAGCAGCAUUUGGAUUAUAGUCAGUUAUCUUCUCAAUUGCCUUACCAUACACAUACUCAUUGUAGGCAUCAGCAGCUAUCCAAAAAAGUUUCUGGAAUGCAGAUCCACUGAAGCCAUUGUUCUUACAGUUCAUGUACAAAUGUUGGCAGCAAACUCUCCUAGUUGCCCUAGGAAAAGUUUCUUUAACUGCCAACUCAACUCCCUACAAAAACCACAAAUUAAGUUAGUCGGGUACGGGUUCAAGUGUCCGACUCGGGAAUAUAAAAAACAUACAAAUAAGAAAUAAGUAAAGAAAUGAGAACAUACCCUCAUCCUAUCACUGAUGAAGGUCCAAUCAUCUCUGCAGCAACCCUCUUGCUCAAACAUUUGCCUCAAACAUCUUAUGAAGUAGGUCCAACUGUCACAACUCUCAGUGUCCACUAUCCCAUAGGCCAGAACAAAUAUUUCAUUGUUCCCAUCAAUACCAACUGCUGUGAGCAGGAUGCCCUUGUAAAACCCACUUAAAUGAGCUCCAUCUAUGCCAAUUAUAGGCCUACAACCCUUUAGAAACCCUCUAACUUGAGCAGCAAAAGAGAAGAAGCAGGCUCUGAAUUUAGGGUUCACAUCCCCACUAUUUGCCCCCCAUGUUAUCAGUGCAUGACUGCCUGGGUUAGUUUGCUUGAUCAUCUCAGCAUAUCUAGGUAGAAACUGAUAAGCCUCAGCCCAACCACCAUGUAGUUUCUCCUUGGCCAUACUCCUAACUUUGUACAAUAGCCUCUUCUUCACCCUCAACUGGAACUUCUCCUGUGCAUACUUCCUCAAAGUCUCCACUGGAAUGUCAGGAUUGUCCUCUAUUUCCCCCAACAUGUGCUUACACAACCACUCAGAGGUCACCACAGGGUUCUCUUCAAGUCUUCCACAAGUCCCGUGGGACCCACUAAUGACCUUAAUUGCCCAACUGACAUUGUCAAACAACCUACUAGCAUGUAUCCUCCAGUCACAUGUUUCUACUGCACACACUGCAGUAUACCUCCUAUUGUCAGCCCUCUCAACACUAAGCCCAAACCCCAAUUGUAUGCAGUAACUUCUCAAAACUUCAAGGAAUGUGGCCUUGUCUGGAAAUAUCAACCAAGGUUCUAACUUAAUUGACCCAUAUGGUUGAUGAGUCCAUAUCUUACCAUUCUUGUAGGUCUUAUCCAUCUUUGAAGAACCAUCAAGACAUUCCUCAAACCCUAGAUCAUGGACAUCAUCAGCAAGCACCUCACCCUCCACGUCAGAAUCAAUCCAAUCCCGAAGAACAUCCUCCUCAAGUUCAGAGUCUGAUUCAGACUCCUCAUAAUCUGAAUCCUCACUCUCCUCUUCUGGACCUAGAUCAUCAACAUCAGCAAACACCCCUGGUGUCCUAGACCUUCCUGUACCCUUUCUCCCUUUGCCCUUCCCUUUGGACACCCAAGUCCCAGCCUUCUUAGCAGUCACUUUAUUAACCCUAAACCCCUUAGGUCUAGCUCUGCCCCCCUUCUUUUUCACUGGUUGUUCUCCCUGAGCCUGAUCAGGUGGUGUUUGAUGGGUAGGAUCAUCAUUGUGGUUGUUCUGUGGUUGAGGGGUAGGUUGUUGUGGUGGUGGUGGUGGUGUGGGCUGUUGUGGUGGUGGUGGUGUGGGCUGUUGUGGUGGUGGUGGUGGUGUGGGCUGUUGUGGUGGUGGUGGUGGUGGUGUUGGUUUUUUCUGUGGUGGUGGGGUGGGUUGCUUCUUUGGUGGUGGGGUGGGCUAUUUCUGUGGUUUUGGGGUGGGUUGCUUCUUUGGUUGUGGGCUGGGUUUAGUUGAUGUGGAGGGUCUCCUCUUUGGGGUAAGUUUCUUAGCAGCAGGGUUACCCUUGGCUUUUGGCUUAGGAGCAGCAGCAGGUUGUUUCUUUGGGGGUGGGGAUUCUUGUGUUGGUUGUGGUUGAGAGCAACCUGGAAACACCUCAUUAGCAUCAUCUUUGCUAAUCAUUCUCACAUACUCAACCUUCAAGUCCUCACAAUCAACCACGGGCACCUCCGUAGCCACAGUGAACUCCAUUUGUUCCUGUAUUUCCCUCAAAAUGUCCUCCCUUUCCUGUUGUUUCCUCCUUUCCUCUUCCUCCUCUCUUUGAGCCCUCAACAGUUCAUCUUGCCUCUCCUUAAGCUUCCUCUCAUUUUCUUUCCCAUGAUUCUCAAUUGUGCCAACAGCAGUCCUAAACACCAACCCUGGAUUAUCUGUUCCCUCAACCCAAAUUUCAGCAGUAUCUUUGCCCCAAUUCCAUCCCCACAACAGCCUCAGUGUCUUAUCAUCUUUCAACUCUACCUUUUCACAAGGGGACUCAAUAAACAAGCUAAACUGACUAGGCAAAAACACAUCCUGCUUAAUUGAUUCCUCAAAAAUGUCUAGAAACAACCUCAACAAAGAAUACUUAUCCAUGUCUGGAACUCUCACAUCAAAGUUAUGUGAUCCAUAAUGCAAUAACAACCACAUAGCAGUCAUCCUAAAGGGAAAAAUAAUGGGAAAAAAAACAUGAAUUUCCAUUGAAACAACAACAAUUCAUUAAUAACAAACAUCGACUAAUCAAGUCAUCAAUACACAAUACAAUUCCAGGAAAAAACACAGACUAACAAUCAAUUAAUCACAACAACUUUGCGCAAUUUCAAAAAAAUAACUGACAAUUUCACAAAACCCUAACCCUAAUCAAUUUCGCGAAAAAACUCAACUUUACAAGACAAAAAAACAGCGAAGAAGAGAUUAUUACCAGGAAGUAGAUUAUCCAACUUGAAAAAUGGCGCUUCCUCUUUGACUCUAACUCGUGCUGUAAAUCGCCUCAAUUUUCUCAAUUCUUUGUCGCGAAAUAACCAAUAUCACACUCAAUUUUCUCAAGGGGCCUAGUGAUCCAAAUAUUUUUCAAGGGGGCUAGUCGUCCAAAUAUUUCUCAAGGGGCCUAGUGAUCCAAAUAUUUUUCAAAGGGCCUAGCCAUCAAAACCUCCUGUCAGAGCGAAGGCAGUCGGCAAACUGUUCGAGGUCUUUCCUCAGAAACACUUGCAACACAGUCAAUGCCUGCACUUCACUCUGAGGGGGCUAGUUGUACCACCAGGUAUCAAAAUAAUACUUAUUUUUUCCCAUUAUUCAGAGCAAGCGCAACAAUUAUCAUAGAUGCGCUUACUCUGAGGGGGCUAGUUGUACGGGGUGUCCUACCGGCACCACUGGGUACCGGCAGAACUCCCCGUAGGUAAACUUCAACCUGCAGGUAAUCUGGUCAUCUUAGGUAAUUAAACAGCACCUACCGGCAAUAUUAGAGGAACCUUACCGGCGUUAUCACAGAGGACAACCAACCAAGGGUCACUAUCAAUAGGUCGCUAUCCAACCACAAGGGACCCACCUGAUCGUACCCUUGGAUUGGUCUAUAUAAGGAGCACCACAUUUAUUGCUAUGAGGUACACACACACUUAAACACACUUCUUUCUAACUCCUUGAUUAUCUCUUAAUCACUUCUUAAUCCCUCAGUAAUCUUACUUAGGCAUCGGAGGGGGAUCCUCGAACCACCCCCGAGGCUAGUUAAUUCAUUCUGUUGUGCAGAUACCAACCGGCACUCUCAGCAGGAAUACAGUAUCCCACAGUCAGCUGUUCUCAUUCCACACCCGGAACAAUAGGUAAUUACUACAUACUCCUUAUAAAGCAAAGCGGUAAAAGUAAGAGUGACAAAUUAAACCAACAUUGAGUUUAUUUUUCCCGGGGAUGGAGACUUGUGGAAGCAGUAGAAGUGAAGCUAGCUAAAAGUAGUUGGGUAACCCCUCCCAAAAAUCUGAAAUGGGUGAGCCAAAGACAAUCCAUAGUGACAUAAAUAGUUGAAUGUUCAACACUUGAUUGUCUCAAAAUAGGCAAGAUUCUUUAAUUGAAAAGGAUACUCGAUCAGGUACUGGGCCUAUUGGCUCUGAGCAUUUCCGUUAUGAGCCAGUCAUCAGCCCGUUCAGGCCGCUUCAAGCUAGAUUAAAUAUCAUUGAGAAAAAGGAAAUGAAAAUAAUCAGAAACCUAGAACAAAUUACAUUAUCAAACAUUGCUGCAUAAGAGCUGACUUACAAUAGGGUAGCAAUUCUUAACGAGGCUUCUUGUGCUUAAUCUCGAGUAUACAGUAUUGCAGAAGUGCUCUUGAUCCCAACCAAGCAGCCUCAGAAAUUUGUCUUAUGUUGCAUAUAGGAAGUGUAUUUCCGUAUGAAAAAAGUUGCAUUGCCAUAUUACUUGUAUAUUCCUCAGUCCUCAGUCCUCAGUCCUCAGUCCUCACCUUGAAGAAUAGCAGUGAGGAAUAUCCAGGAAUAACAUUUCCAGCAGUGUUCAUAAGAAUAAUAGACUUGACUAGCGAAGGCCAAGACCACCGACAACCGAAAUAAAGUAUCCUGACAUUCAAAAACAUUGAUUACUAUUGGUUUUGAAAGAAACAAAUAAGAAUGGAUCAAUGAACUCAG